This is a long non-coding RNA of Canis lupus familiaris (dog), 2252 nucleotides long. RefSeq lists it as uncharacterized. The transcript has 5 exons. The record is from RefSeq and is a predicted model, not a curated record. NCBI's taxonomy places the organism in Eukaryota, Metazoa, Chordata, Mammalia, Carnivora, Canidae.
UGGAGGAGAGGGAGAAGUAGACUCCCCACUGAGCAGGGAGCCUGAUGCGAGGCUCAAUCCCGGGAUCCUGAGAUCAUGAUCUGAGCCGAAGGCCAACACUUCACCGAUAGAGCCACCCAGUGGCCCCAAUUUCCUGAAUUUCUAAGACAGACUCUGUCGGAGAGACCAGCUGAAGGAACCCACUGCUGACCAGGGCGAUGUCUCUUCUAAAUGAGGACAAUUGUGAUUAACUCGGUGACCAGCCAGCGCCAGCCAUGCUCCCACCGGUGAAAGCAGCCCUUUGAACAAUAUUGAAGAUGUUUAUUUCAUGAGGAUGUAGCAGAAGACAACAGUGUCUUUUAAACAGGUCAUAGUCAGAGCCCUGGCCUGAGAUUCAUGGGACCCCAACAAACACUUCACAUACAGACUCCAGAAAAGGCACAGUCAAGAAAAAGGGACUGCCAUCUUCUGUUGCAAAGAAUGGAUUUGGGAUCCUACAGCCUGCCGUGGAAUCAAAACCUCCUGUUGACACAGAGGAGGACCCCACAGCGUCAUUUCAAGUGGGUAAUUUCUGGAAACCUCAAGAUUUUUAGAAAAUGGUUGAAAGGAGUUAAAGACCUUGUGGAAGAGAACAGCAGCCUCUCAGCUCCCCUUUGAACGUGGAAGUCUCUCUCUCCAGGGCACAGUCUUGCCAUCCACACAGAAUUUCCUGUGGCUCCUGUGCAAGGACAAGCAUGAAUAUACUUUCCCGACACACCCUCCAAAUUCGACAGAAAUUACUCAAGCGUUGUCAAAGGCACAGUGAUCUAUGCCUUCUCUGAACAGAUACCUCAUGUUAAUUCGGGCAAUGACAAUGAUGGGUCUUCCAUUUCUGUUUUGUGGCUUUAGAAAACAAUUGAUAGGAAUCUGGAAAACUUUGAUCCUUUCUUUUGCUCCCACCUGAGGAAAUGACCCUGAUAAAACAUGUUUUUGUUUGUUUGUUUUUGUUUUUUUGUAGCAUACAGGUGAGGGACACCCCUUCCACCUGGGUGAUGCUCAAUUGAGUAGAUAAAUGAAAAGUGAUCACAACAAAGAAAAGUGGGAAAAAAAGGAGCUUGAAGUGACUCAGGGGAUAGUCCACUCUGAGAUAAGUGAAAAAAUGUUAGUUGGUAUUAAAUGAAACUAUUUUUUUAAUAGAAUUUCCAAGUCCUCCUAUGGCAGUGAGAGAAAACAGAAGAAUCAAAAGAAGCCUUUAUUCAAUGCUUGCUAUAUGUCAACCAAUAUGUUAAGUAAUCUCAUCCAUCUCCACAUAACCUGAAGAACCAGGUCCCUGUUUUAUAGAUUAAGACACUGAGAAAAUUUGCCAAGACAAGUGGAAGGUCCAUAAUCUUAACAUAAUGAUCUGCCACAAGCCCUUACUCUUCAUCACAAUCGUGUUAUCAUGAUCCUUUAGAUUUUAUAAUUUAUUGUACUCACACAAGUCUUGAUUCUCUAAAGCUACCAAAAUUAGGGAGUGUUUCUUCAUACAUGGAGAGGAAAAAGUUUAUUUUCAAUCAUUCACAUGAUACUAACAUGUGUCCAAAAGAUCUGGAUCAAUUGGGUGUGGAUUUCUCCAGAAAACUCUUCCCAGAUUGCCCACAUAUGGAAAUUAUCUCUCCGAGGUCAAUCACAACUCUGAGUGUCUGGAAUACAGACCGUUAGAACAUUAAUCACUGAUGUAAAUAUCCUCUCUCACCUUCCUUCUGCACAGCUCAUACUAACUUCCACUCAGAAAAACCUACUAAAUUUAACAAUUACAAAGAAAUUCUCUUCCCCCUUUCCCUUUUUUGAGAAAGACAUAUGAGCAUGAAAAUCACUAAGCACAAAAUAUAAAGUUUCCUUGGAGAUGAAUUUGUUUUGAAGAAAUGUAAACCUGGUUAGAACUUUAGGAAAAUGUGUGUUAUUUGAUGUGUGACCUUGGCGCAAGUCAGCAUGCUCUCAGGAGCAGAGUGUGCAUCAGCAUCGAUGACUGAUGGGACAGUAGGUGUGAAUGUGGACAACAUCUUAAGCAGGUGACCCCAGUGCAGAGCCACAGGAUGGUUUCUGAGCAAUUCAAAGAGCCAAAGGCACCUCCACACUGUGUCAGGAUGGAAAAGCCACACCAUUCCACUGUGGCCUCUGCUGGUCUCCACCCAGAACGCUAUCAUCACCACCACCAGCAUGAGGAUCUUUUUGCCUAGAAGCUUCUUCACUCAAUUCAACAGUCUUUAAAAUAGUAGCACAAGGAAUUAUAAAAAUAAAAGCAGUUGAUCUUA